Molecule: ribosomal RNA, 465 nt
Filed under: uncultured bacterium
Lineage: Bacteria
Description: partial 16S ribosomal RNA
Rfam family: Bacterial small subunit ribosomal RNA
Source: RNAcentral
GACGAACGCUGGCGGCGUGCUUAACACAUGCAAGUCGUACGGUAAGGCCCUUUCGGGGGUACACGAGUGGCGAACGGGUGAGUAACACGUGAGUAACCUGCCCACAACUUUGGGAUAACGCUAGGAAACUGGUGCUAAUACUGGAUAUGUGCCCCUGCUGCAUGGUGGGGGUUGGAAAGCUCCGGCGGUUGUGGAUGGACUCGCGGCCUAUCAGCUUGUUGGUGGGGUAGUGGCCUACCAAGGCGGCGACGGGUAGCCGGCCUGAGAGGGUGACCGGCCACAUUGGGACUGCGAUACGGCCCAGACUCCUACGGGAGGCAGCAGUGGGGAAUAUUGCACAAUGGGCGCAAGCCUGAUGCAGCAACGCCGCGUGCGGGAUGACGGCCUUCGGGUUGUAAACCGCUUUCAGCAGGGACGAAGCUUUUUGUGACGGUACCUGCAGAAGAAGCACCGGCUAACUACGUG